Molecule: long non-coding RNA, 465 nt
Filed under: Ananas comosus (pineapple)
Lineage: Eukaryota; Viridiplantae; Streptophyta; Magnoliopsida; Poales; Bromeliaceae
Description: long non-coding RNA (ACOM_LNC003920)
Source: RNAcentral
CCCCCAAAAACAACACGGGGGUGAGAACUAUUGUCCAAAGUUUCCAGUGGGUACGGCCACCCAAGGGAAAAGCUCGACCCACCAGGUCCAAAGGAGGCACUGCAAACAUGUUAGUCCAACAGAUAUCCACAAAUAAUUAAUGCAAAUAUUAAAUACAUGUUUGUGCCUCAAGACAUGCAAUAUGUAGAUCAUGCAACUCAUACAAGUAGAUUAAUUGAUUCUACUCUAUAUCACUUACCAUUCUUUAUAAUAUUGGCAAUUCUGUAUCACAUGUCAUUCUUUAUUCUUUAUUCUUAGCCACACUUUACUCAAUUUUCAUUCUUUCCUAAGGUUACAUUGACCUUAGCCAACUAUGCCACUCGACUCGGUCUUGAGUCAAUUCACGAUGAAUGCAAGAUUUCAUUACCCAAUCUCUUGGUUAACCCGUAGGUUUCGCCCUCAAUGACUCACCAACCCAAAUCCCUA